GGAAAUUAGCUCAGUUGGAGAGCAUCUGCCCAGAGGGUCGAGGUUCGAGCCUCAUUCUCCACCA
This 64-nucleotide transfer RNA is filed under the name Staphylococcus pseudintermedius. Its description in RNAcentral is "tRNA-OTHER". Lineage: Bacteria; Bacillati; Bacillota; Bacilli; Caryophanales; Staphylococcaceae. The record is from RNAcentral.